This 480-nucleotide ribosomal RNA is filed under the name uncultured bacterium. RNAcentral's name for it is "bacterial SSU rRNA". It matches the Rfam family "Bacterial small subunit ribosomal RNA", at positions 29 to 536 of the family's 1533-position model. The record is from RNAcentral.
AACGAACGCUGGCGGCAGGCCUAACACAUGCAAGUCGAGCGAGGUAGCAAUACCUAGCGGCGGACGGGUUAGUAACGCGUGGGAACGUGCCCAAAGGUACGGAAUAGCCUCGGGAAACUGAGAGUAAUACCGUAUGUGCCCUUCGGGGGAAAGAUUUAUCGCCUUUGGAUCGGCCCGCGUUGGAUUAGGUAGUUGGUGGGGUAAUGGCCUACCAAGCCGACGAUCCAUAGCUGGUUUGAGAGGAUGAUCAGCAACACUGGGACUGAGACACGGCCCAGACUCCUACGGGAGGCAGCAGUGGGGAAUCUUAGACAAUGGGGGAAACCCUGAUCUAGCCAUGCCGCGUGAGCGAUGAAGGCCUUAGGGUUGUAAACUUCUUUUAUAGGGGACGAAAAAAGGGAAUUCCUUCCCACCUUGACGGUACCCUAGGAAUAAGCACCGGCUAACUACGUGCCAGCAGCCGCGGUAAGGUGACGCUCU